CGUGACUUUGCAGUGAAGCACCAUCCAAGGCAUUUCACCUGCUCAUACAGUUUCACCUGCUUCUCUCAGCAAGUUGCCAGUUUGCUCCUGAGAGAUUGAGCAAAUCUUACUCUUCCUGCAGGACAAGUGGUCAUUUUCAGCAUGAGUCAACAACGUGAUGUAAUUUAAUCUCUUCACAAAGCAGAAGUUGAGGCAGAGUUGUAAGGCUGUUUAGUUCUGACUGAAUUGAAUUUUGACAGAACUUGGAAGGGGAAUUGAAAAGGUAAAAAUAUUUAGCAUCUCGGUUCAUUUCACGUAGACACAUAUUACGUGUUUCAAAGGUAAAA
RNAcentral lists this long non-coding RNA (326 nucleotides) under Dromaius novaehollandiae (emu). Its description in RNAcentral is "lncRNA (ENSDNVG00000011035.1)". Lineage: Eukaryota; Metazoa; Chordata; Aves; Casuariiformes; Dromaiidae. The record is from RNAcentral.